AACGAACGCUGGCGGCAUGCCUAACACAUGCAAGUCGAACGAACCCUUCGGGGUUAGUGGCGCACGGGUUCGUAACGCGUGGGAAUCUGCCCUUUGCUUCGGAAUAACUCAGGGAAACUUGUGCUAAUACCGGAUGAUGUCUUCGGACCAAAGAUUUAUCGGCAAGGGAUGAGCCCGCGUAGGAUUAGGUAGUUGGUGGUGUAAAGGCCUACCAAGCCGACGAUCCUUAGCUGGUCUGAGAGGAUGAUCAGCCACACUGGGACUGAGACACGGCCCAGACUCCUACGGGAGGCAGCAGUGGGGAAUAUUGGAAAAUGGGCGCAAGCCUGAUCAAGCAAUGACGCGUGAGUGAUGAAGGCCCUCGGGUCGUAAAGCUCUUUUACCAGGGAUGAUAAUGACAGUACCUGGAGAAUAAGCUCCGGCUAACUCCGUG
Molecule: ribosomal RNA, 433 nt
Filed under: uncultured bacterium
Lineage: Bacteria
Description: partial 16S ribosomal RNA
Rfam family: Bacterial small subunit ribosomal RNA
Source: RNAcentral